UGCAAAUCAAAUAAUUUUUUGAUAUAACUAAAAUACCCUCAAAUUAACCUAAUUAACAAUUGAAAAUAUAUAGUAAAAGAUUUUUAAAUAUAAACAAAAUAAAAAACAAAGUUUUAAUUAAUUUUAAAUUAUAUAUAAUAUUAGUACAAAGUUAUUUUCUUCUCUCUCUCUUCUCUUAUCUCUCUUCUCUCCCUAACGAGCUGACCUUAGAAAAUCCAUGGAUGUAGAACAACAACAGUGGAGCUUCAUUCUCGAAGACAGGGAGGUCAAUCCAUGCCUUUGUGGGGUCCAAACACAAAUUGAUCUGGGGCAGUGCGGUCUUCAGCAAUGAGGAAGAGAGAUCGAGCAAUGAUGACUAGUGCAAAGCUUCCAUGGGUGCAAAGGCAUGGACAUAUCCAUUUUCCUCAUCGUCACCGCAACAAAGAAGAAUGUCGACACGUUUGGGCUCUUUGACAGAGCUGCUGGGCGGAGCAUCGACAUGACGAUGUUAGGGCAGAGUAAGUCAGUCGCAAGGGGGGCAGGGGUUGUAGCUCAUUGGCUUGCAGGGUCAGGUGAGAUCUUCGACGAUAAAUCUAGGCUCGGAGAUAAAGAAUAUGAAGAACACAAGAUAGAAGAAAUGAGGAAGAGAGAUAAGAGAGAGAAAAUAAUUAUUUAUUUGUAUUGGUGCUUUUAUUUUUUUAAAAUAUUUUUUAUAGUUUCAAAAUUAAUUUUAAAAAUUUGUCUUAAAAAUACAUUAAUUUUUUACAAAUUUUAUAAGUUGGACUAAUGAAAAUAUGACACAUGGUAGUGUAUUUUUUAAAAUUGAUAAUAAUUUAAAUUUUGAGGGUAUUUGAGUCA
Long non-coding RNA from Humulus lupulus (European hop), 837 nucleotides. RefSeq lists it as uncharacterized. Lineage: Eukaryota; Viridiplantae; Streptophyta; Magnoliopsida; Rosales; Cannabaceae. The transcript is spliced from 2 exons. The record is from RefSeq and is a predicted model, not a curated record.